GUGUCAGCAGCCGCGGUAAUACCCGCAGCCCGAGUGGUGGUCCUUAUUAUUGAGCCUAAAGCGUCCGCAGCCGGUCCGGUACAUUCCUGGGUAAAUCGGGUCGCCUAACGAUCCGAACGCCGGGAAGACGGCCGGACUUGGGACCGGGAGAGGCCGGAGGUACGUCAGGGGUAGGGGUAAAAUCCUGUAAUCCUUGGCGGACCACCAGUGGCGAAGGCGUCCGGCCAGAACGGCUCCGACGGUCAGGGACGAAGGCCUGGGGCGCAAACGGGAUUAGAUACCCCGGUAGUCCAGGCUGUAAACGCUGCGGGCUUGGUGUCGGGGGUCCUACGAGGGCUCCCGGUGCCGGAGCGAAGGUGUUAAGCCCGCCGCUUGGGGAGUACGGCCGCAAGGCUGAA
RNAcentral lists this ribosomal RNA (398 nucleotides) under uncultured bacterium. RNAcentral's name for it is "bacterial SSU rRNA". It matches the Rfam family "Archaeal small subunit ribosomal RNA", at positions 455 to 853 of the family's 1478-position model. The record is from RNAcentral.